GCGAGAGUAGCCAAGUGGUCAACGGCGAUGGACUCAAGAUCCAUUUUCGUAGGAAUUCGUGGGUUCGACUCCCCCCUCUCGCA
RNAcentral lists this transfer RNA (83 nucleotides) under Methanosarcinaceae archaeon. Its description in RNAcentral is "tRNA-Leu". It matches the Rfam family "tRNA". Rfam says of the family: Transfer RNA (tRNA) molecules are approximately 80 nucleotides in length. Their secondary structure includes four short double-helical elements and three loops (D, anti-codon, and T loops). The record is from RNAcentral. RNAcentral also lists the same sequence under 1 other name. Lineage: Archaea; Methanobacteriati; Methanobacteriota; Methanomicrobia; Methanosarcinales; Methanosarcinaceae.